UCAGCCACACUGGAACUGAGACACGGUCCAGACUCCUACGGGAGGCAGCAGUGGGGAAUAUUGGACAAUGGGCGCAAGCCUGAUCCAGCCAUGCCGCGUGUGUGAAGAAGGCCUUCGGGUUGUAAAGCACUUUUGUCCGGAAAGAAAAGCUUAGGGUUAAUAACCCUGAGUCAUGACGGUACCGGAAGAAUAAGCACCGGCUAACUUCGUGCCAGCAGCCGCGGUAAUACGAAGGGUGCAAGCGUUACUCGGAAUUACUGGGCGUAAAGCGUGCGUAGGUGGUUUGUUAAGUCUGAUGUGAAAGCCCUGGGCUCAACCUGGGAAUGGCAUUGGAAACUGGCUUACUAGAGUGCGGUAGAGGGUAGCGGAAUUCCCGGUGUAGCAGUGAAAUGCGUAGAUAUCGGGAGGAACAUCCGUGGCGAAGGCGGCUACCUGGACCAGCACUGACACUGAGGCACGAAAGCGUGGGGAGCAAACAGGAUUAGAUACCCUGGUAGUCCACGCCCUAAACGAUGCGAACUGGAUGUUGGGGGCAACUUGGCCCUCAGUAUCGAAGCUAACGCGUUAAGUUCGCCGCCUGGGAAGUACGGUCGCAAGACUGAAACUCAAAUGAAUUGACGGGGGCAAGGGCGAAUUCUGCAGAUAUCCAUCACACUGGCGGCCGCUCGAG
Molecule: ribosomal RNA, 670 nt
Filed under: uncultured bacterium
Lineage: Bacteria
Description: bacterial SSU rRNA
Rfam family: Bacterial small subunit ribosomal RNA
Source: RNAcentral